UGCUAUCAAAAAUCGUUGGGUGCAUCAAAA
RNAcentral lists this non-coding RNA (30 nucleotides) under Rattus norvegicus (Norway rat). Lineage: Eukaryota; Metazoa; Chordata; Mammalia; Rodentia; Muridae. The record is from RNAcentral.